This 1476-nucleotide long non-coding RNA is filed under the name Malus domestica (apple). RNAcentral's name for it is "long non-coding RNA (MDOM_LNC012076)". Lineage: Eukaryota; Viridiplantae; Streptophyta; Magnoliopsida; Rosales; Rosaceae. The record is from RNAcentral.
ACCGCCACAAGCUGAGCCAACCAAGGCAACAUAAGCCACAAUCCGAGCAGCCUCACAACAUGUACUACAUCUAGUUGAGCCUCAUUUCACAUUGAGCGCCACCUCAUAUCGAGUAUUCAGCUCUAGACGACAUCUAGUUACUUCGGCCCACACAUGGACUGAAUUUCAAGUCUCCAGCCAAAAGACUAUCUUGACUGAAGACUUGGGGGACUACUGUUUGUACCAUACUUAGGGCCUCCGUAUUUAGAUCUCGUAUAAAAUACUCGGGGGACUUAAAUGUAAUUAUGUAAUAAAGGAAUGGGCAAAUAUGUAAUAAGUAAGGAGCCUUUAUUCUAUAAAAGAACUCCUCACCCUCACAAUUAGAGAAUGCCAACUCUUAGGCCUGAAGCUCCCUCACCCUCUCACAUCCCCUCUCACAGUACAGAGGUUCUCUCCCUCACAAUCCUCUCAGAGAAAUACAAUAAUCAGUGUGGAAGUAGCCCAAACAUUGGGGUGAACCACGAUACAUCUUGUGUUAUUUACUUUCUUGCAGAUUCACGAUCGGAUUUACGUUGUUCCAAGACCCCUCCGGUUUUGUGCAUCAACAGAUAUAAUAGAACAAAUGUGUCGGACUUAUAAUGGUACCCUUUUUAUAUGAUUGAAAAUGAUAGAUCCCCUUCCUAAAUAAUUGUCCUCCAUUUGUAAAAGCAACGUUAGCUAAGGAGAAUUCAAAAAUGAUACAACCUCGAUUAUUUGGGUUGGCAUGCAAGUAAAUGCUAUUAAUCACUUAAGUUACAAGUUUACUACAACGAGAUAUUCUUUUAUCGAAUGUCUCUUAAGGAACGUUGCAGCUGCCAUUUAGGGAUAAAACCUAAGGCUCAAGCGAGAGUAAACUGUCAAAUUUCCUAUGACUUCCAAUUUCUCUUAAAACUUUUUUAUGGAUAAAAUUACAACUUUUGUCACGACUCACAUGCAUAUUACAAUAUCGCUCUUAUAUAUUUAACUUUUUAUUAAAUUAUUUUAGAUUAAAAUAUCAUAUAGUAAUUAGCAUUUUUUCGGUUAAUAAAAAAAGUUUUCUUAACAAUAGCACUAACAAAAUACACAUGAUGUGUGAGUGGGAAAGAGAGAACGUAAAAUGUAUUUAUAAAAAUCAUGCACUCACACGUGUGCAAAAGACAUUUUUUGAAUAACGACAUGGUACACGUGAUUUACAUGUUUUAAAUGUAUUUAUAUGCAUAAAUUGAAAAAAAGAAAGUCAAAUAUUUGAAUUAAAUGAAUAAUCUUAAAUCAUGCUAAUAAAACGCUUCAUAAACCAAUUAAAGCGGCUCAAUUGUGACAACCCGUCUUUAAUUUUACGUUUUUAUAAAUUUUAAAAGCGUGAAUUGACGAAAAUGCCCUAGAGGCAAAGACUUCCACUUCCGUUAACCCUCGUUUAGAGAAACGUAUAACUUAUUCUUUUAGCGUAUUUAAGUAAUACUCGUCACUACAAACGCAUAC